RNAcentral lists this ribosomal RNA (1306 nucleotides) under uncultured bacterium. RNAcentral describes it as "bacterial SSU rRNA". It matches the Rfam family "Bacterial small subunit ribosomal RNA", at positions 28 to 1381 of the family's 1533-position model. The record is from RNAcentral.
AACGUACGCUGGCGGCACGCCUAACACAUGCAAGUCGAACGAAGUAGCAAUACUUAGUGGCAGACGGGUGAGUAACAUGUAGGUAUCUGCCCUUUGGCCUGGAAUAACACGAGGAAACUUGUGCUAAUACCGGAUAAGUCUUUACGGAGAAAGCUUUAUGCACCAUUGGAUGAGCCUGCACUUGAUUAGUUUGUUGGUGGGGUAAUGGCCUACCAAGACUGUGAUCAAUAGCUGAUUUGAGAGGAUGAUCAGCCACAUUGGGACUGAGACACGGCCCAAACUCCUACGGGAGGCAGCAGUGGGGAAUCUUGCACAAUGGAGGAAACUCUGAUGCAGCGAUGCCGCGUGAGUGAAGAAGGCCCUUGGGUUGUAAAGCUCUUUCGUCGGGGAAGAAAAUGACUGUACCCGAAUAAGAAGGUCCGGCUAACUUCGUGCCAGCAGCCGCGGUAAUACGAAGGGACCUAGCGUAGUUCGGAAUUACUGGGCUUAAAGAGUUCGCAGGUGGUUGAAAAAGUUGGUGGUGAAAUCCCAGAGCUUAACUCUGGAACUGCCAUCAAAACUUUUCAGCUAGAGUUUGAUAGAGGAAAGCAGAAUUUCUAGUGUAGAGGUGAAAUUCGUAGAUAUUAGAAAGAAUACCAAUUGCGAAGGCAGCUUUCUGGAUCAUUACUGACACUGAGGAACGAAAGCAUGGGUAGCGAAGAGGAUUAGAUACCCUCGUAGUCCAUGCCGUAAACGAUGUGUGUUAGACGUUGGAAAUUUAUUUUCAGUGUCGCAGCGAAAGCGAUAAACACACCGCCUGGGGAGUACGACCGCAAGGUUAAAACUCAAAUGAAUUGACGGGGACCCGCACAAGUAGUGGAGCAUGUGGUUUAAUUCGAAGAUACGCGCAGAACCUUACCAACACUUGACAUGUUCGUCGCGACUUUAAGAGAUUAAAGUUUUCGGUUCGGCCGGACGAAACACAGGUGCUGCAUGGCUGUCGUCAGCUCGUGUCGUGAGAUGUUGGGUUAAGUCCCGCAACGAGCGCAACCCUCACUUUUAGUUGCCAUCAUUUAGUUGGGCACUCUGAAAGAACUGCCAGUGAUAAGCUGGAGGAAGGUGGGGAUGACGUCAAGUCCUCAUGGCCCUUACGUGUUGGGCUACACACGUGCUACAAUGGUAUCUACAACAGGAAGCAAGACGGCGACGUUAAGCAAAUCCUUAAAAGAUACCUCAGUUCGGAUUGCACUCUGCAACUCGAGUGCAUGAAGCUGGAAUUACUAGUAAUCGUGGAUCAGCGUGCCACGGUGAAUGCGUUCCCGGGUCU